This 3223-nucleotide long non-coding RNA is filed under the name Mus musculus (house mouse). RNAcentral describes it as "predicted gene, 47484". The record is from RNAcentral. Lineage: Eukaryota; Metazoa; Chordata; Mammalia; Rodentia; Muridae.
CAGGAAGUUUGGCCGCCCCCCAUCAACAUACCCACUCGCUUUCUUCUCCGCCCGCGGGUGUUUCUCAGGAGGAGGCGCUGACUCUUGGGCCGCUGCUUGAGAGCGAUCCUUCGCUCCCCGCUACAUACACACGCAUACACAGCCCGAGACACACACAGGGUUCCCUCCCGGCCGAGGAACCGCAGCGCCCCGUCCCCUCCUGUCUGCCCUUCAGGGUUCUCAGGUCCGCGAAAUCUGAAACCAGGUCAGUGCAGUCUAGCCGUGACGUCACUGCCUUCCCGCUGAGCGGAGCUGUUCAGCAGGGGCCGCGGCGGCUGGGAUGGGUGAGACGGCGCGGGGUGGAGGGUAGCUUUCUCCGGAGCUGAGGACCUGUGACAGCUCCCGAAACACCAAAAGCCCAUGAAGAGCACCUGAAAUGUUCAUGGCCCAAAGAGGGACCUGGAAAUCAAGCCUUGCAUUGCCCCUAGGACUGGGUGUGAAUUUAGGCACACGUACAGCGUUAGAAACAUUUAAGAAUUCUCCAGAGAUCUUGGAUGCACUGACUGAGGGCUCAGAUAACUAAGUUCCAAGCUGGAUAAUAGUUCUUGUUGAAACUUUCGAGUUUGACUGCAUGAAACUUAAGAUCUGCAGUGGUGGCACACGCCUGUAACUCCAGCAAUCCCAGUACUCCAGGAGUUCCCGGUGAACGAGGGCUACAUAGUUGAGACCUUGUCCAAAAAAACAAAAAACAACAACAACAACAAAACAUGAUGCGGUGUGGAAGAGUAGGGGACUAAAGAUAGUGCCUGUGAGAUAUAAUGUUCUCUGAAGGCGCUCAUUUUCAAGUUAGAGAUAAGCCAGGAGUCUGGAUGAGCUAGGGAGUCAUAGUUUUGGUACAAAAUGUUCCGGGAGAAAACAUUUCCUCGAUACAGUUUGUCCUGCGCACUGAGAAGCAUGACUGUGAUCCCAUUUGAGGAUGGCCAUGACAAGGACAACUGGCCUACACAGUAUCUGGGACAAAAAUCUUGGGGUGGCAAGGAGAUGUUUACUAGGAGCUAAAAUCCUAAAAUUUAAGAAAGGAUUAAAAAACAAAGAUUUACCAGUUACCACUAUAUGAAGAGAUGAAGAACUGUUCAGAAAGAAAAACUGGGGUCCAGAGAAAGUAUGUAAAACAAGGUUAGAACGCUGCAAAAUUUGAUUUAGUGGCUGCUAAUUUGUUUUGCCUCUAAAAUAUAUUGACUGUAAAAAAAAAAAGUGGUCAUAAGUCAUACUCAGAAAACAUCUCCAGUUUUAUUUUUCUAAAGGUUGAGAAAAUUAAGAAAACAAAUGUGAUACAUCAGUAUAUCUGGAAUAGUCAUGUCUAUAACCAUUGGUUAAUUUACUUAAUCCUAUAGCUUUCUGGAGCUUGAUUACUUGGGGCUUGUUGUGGGAAGGUACCAUUGGGGAUUGACCUCAGAGCCCCUAGAGUACUGAUCAGUGUUCUGCCCUGACCACUCCGACUCACUUUCAUCAGUGAAACUCUUAGUGAUGUUUAUAUCUAUUAGUUCUCCAAAGUAUAAGCCCAGAAUGGGGAUACAGGCCUUUAACACUGGCACUCGGAGGCAGACAGCCAAGUGGAUAUCUUUGAGUUCCAGGCCAGCCUGGAUUACAUAGCAAGCUACCUAACAGACUCUUGUCUUUAAAAAAAAAUUCCUAAAAUAAACACAAGCUUUUAUCAGCACGUAGUAAGUUGUUAGGCUUGCUACUCAAUUAGUUGUUUGGCAGAACACAAACAUCAUCCCUGGAUGUAAACCUUGUCUCUGGAGACUCCCAACCACUCAUUUAUCUUCUCAGACCACUCCCAGCCCAAAACGUCCUACCCCAAACUGUUCCACAAUCUGUAAAUACUCCCAAUGCUGCCCGAAAUCCUAUGUACUUAUGCCAUUAAGUACAGACAGGCUGGAGAGGUGGCCAACACUAAGAGCAUCUCCUGCUCUACCAGAGGAUCUGCAUUCUAGAACCCAGCACUCACAUGGUGGCUUCAGACUCUCUCCAGUUCCAGGGGAUCCAAUGCCCCAAUACCCUCUCCAGCCACUCUCCACUGUAGGCACCAGACAUGCAUGUGGUGUACAGACAAACAUUCGGGUAAAGACUUUUAAAGUCUCUCAUCAAAAAUAUGGAAAGGCUUUCUCAAUUCUAAUACUCAGUUUAAGAAUGGUAAAAAUGUUACCAGUUCAACAAAUGUUAACUGCUUCUCACCUUAGAAUUCGUAGACUGUUUAUUCAGUUCUAAAAGUAAUUUAAAGAUAUAUAUAUAUAUAUAUAUGAUCCACUAAUAGUUGGGGUUAAAAACCACCCAGGUUUUUUAAAUAUUUGAUACAAAUAUAUGUAAUAUUAAUUUUCACAAACAAAAUUAGCCACAUAUUAGUGAGUGACAGCUGCCUGGCAUCCCAGCAGGCUCAGCAGUGGGAGACCUGAGGAGUCAGUCCAGCCUGAGCUAAACUAACAGACCCAUCUCCAAAACAAUAUUAUUAGUUAUUAUAAGAAAAAUAAUCAGGCAUAGUGGUACAUGCCUACAAUUCCAGGACUUAGGAGACAGAGCCCCAGGAUCACAAGUUGGAGGCCAGUGUGGAUGUCAUAUAGAGAUCUUGCCUCAAAAACAAAGUAAAAAAGACAGAAAAACAAGUAAUACUAACUUCAAUCUAGUGUGGCAUUGGUUCUCAACCUUCCUAAUACACCCACCCUUUAAUACAGUCUCUCAUGUUGUGGUGACCCCCAACCAUAAAAUUAUUCGGUUAUUACCUUAUAACUGUAAUUUUGCUGUUAUGAAUAAUAAUGUAAAUAUCUGUUAUGCGAGAUAUCUGAUAUGUAACUCCUCCGGAGGGGCCGUAACCCACAGCUUGAGAACUCCUGUAUUAUGGCAGGCAAUCACAUGUUAAAUGUAGAGUGAAUAUGAUAUGGAAGAUAAAGUGGUUAUACAACAAAGAAAAUAUUAUCACACUAGAAUCAAGAACUAUCUGUACAGAAAGAUUAUUUUUAAAUGCAUGUUAAGAAUCUUUGUGGGAAGUGAAAAAUGGAGGGCUUCCUUGAUGAAGACACACCAAGACUACAGAGAAGAAUCUUCUGAAAUGCAGACGAUCUGUUUCCCUACGUUGCCCCCUGUCAUCAUGGACUGGAAUGCAACUGAAAGAAAAACAAAACUUGUUGUCUGAAAAGAGAAAUGUUACUAUAUGUCUGUUAGAAGUCUAACAUAUAAAAUUAGUUUG